CAAUAGCGUAUAUUAAAGUUGUUGCAGUUAAAAAGCUCGUAGUUGAACUUCAGACCUGGCCGGGCGGUCUGCCUAACGGUAUGUACUGUCUGGCUGGGUCUUACCUCUUGGUGAGCCGGCAUGCCCUUUACUGGGUGUGUCGGGGAACCAGGACUUUUACCUUGAGAAAAUUAGAGUGUUCAAAGCAGGCCUAUGCCUGAAUACAUUAGCAUGGAAUAAUAAAAUAGGACGUGCGGUUCUAUUUUGUUGGUUUCUAGAGUCGCCGUAAUGAUUAAUAGGGAUAGUUGGGGGCAUUAGUAUUCAGUUGCUAGAGGUGAAAUUCUUGGAUUUACUGAAGACUAACUACUGCGAAAGCAUUUGCCAAGGAUGUUUUCAUUAA
This 379-nucleotide ribosomal RNA is filed under the name uncultured eukaryote. RNAcentral describes it as "partial 18S ribosomal RNA". It matches the Rfam family "Eukaryotic small subunit ribosomal RNA", at positions 592 to 976 of the family's 1831-position model. The record is from RNAcentral.